RNA transcript from Zea mays, 1596 nucleotides. RefSeq lists it as uncharacterized. Lineage: Eukaryota; Viridiplantae; Streptophyta; Magnoliopsida; Poales; Poaceae. The record is from RefSeq and is marked validated. The transcript has 8 exons.
UCCCCGCGCGUUUCUCCACACGGCCCAUCUCGAAGACGUACGUUGACUCGAGUCUGCCCCGGCUCAGCCCAAUCAGCUUGUCGGCCAGCUCCUCUCGUCGAUCGUUUCCACCAAAUCCACCGGUCUGCCGGCCCCGUCUUCCGCUCCGACGACCCGGAGCCGGAGGUCUGUCCAGUUGGUAGUCGCCUCAAGCACCAAUUCGCCCCUCCGCCGAAGCUAAGCUGCUCGGUCCCAAGGGCAUCCCUAGCUGGCUGAGGCGGAUCGGUAGCAAAACCGAUACUGUUACGUUGCCACGGAGGCAGUUUGAUUUGGUGGACCUAACGGCCUUGCGGAUCUCUUGGGAGCCAGAGCGAUGGCGCGCGGUGCUCGCUUCCUCCUUGUUCUCGCGCUGCUGGUCGCGCUACUUGCCGUCGUCUUCCAGCUUUAUCGCCUCAGGAAGCCGAGGUUGUGGACAGUGGAGGAGCUAUCGCUGUACAAUGGAACCGAUGAGGGGUUGCCCAUACUACUCGCGAUUUUGGGCUCAGUGUUUGACGUCACAAAAGGGAGGUCACAUUAUGGCCCUGGAGGAGGUUAUCAUCAUUUUGCUGGGAGCAUUCUUUUGACAGGGAUGCAUCACGGGCAUUUGUUUCUGGAAAUUUUACAGGUGAUGGUUUGACUGAUUCCUUACAGGGUUUAUCAAGCAGUGAGGUAAACAGCAUUGUUGAUUGGAGGAAGUUUUACUUUGAAAGAUAUAUAUUUGCUGGUAAACUUAUUGGACGUUACUAUGACAGUCAAGGGAAUCCUACGAAAUAUCUGAAGGGUGUAGAAAUGAAGGCAAAGAGAGGUGCACAGCUUCUUGAAAAGCAGAAGAGUGAUGAAGCUAAAAUACCUGGCUGCAAUUCAAAAUGGAGCCAGCAAGAAGGUGGAGAAGUCUGGUGCGACACGGGCUAUCCAAGAUUGGUGAGGAGGCCAGGUGACAUAGCUCUGACCGGACAAGUUAGCCAAAGGUGCGCUUGCUUCCAGGAAAACGAGCUGGACAAAGCCGGGCUAGUGGUGUACGAAGGGUGUGAUUACCUGUCCCAGUCUUGCAAAGUAAACUAGGCCGUGCGUCUCCCUUCCACGGACUUGUUGCUUUGGGGGGUACUCAAACGCAAGGUUCAUCAGUUACGGGGGCGCUGCGACAUUCCACGAGCACCCACCAGCCACGCAUGCAUCAUGAAGGCGGGCCUUUCUGCUCUGUCCCGCGUGAAACACCUGGUGCAACGUCGUGGUUCAGUUCAGAUGCCUAGAUACGCAAUUGAUUGGAAGAUACCCGCGAUCGAAUCAAAUGAUGGUAACGCUGCGCCGCCACGGGCAAGAUCUCGAUCCUAAAGGCUGUCCGUGUUAAUAGGCAUGGGGCCUUGGGCUGUCGAUUGAUCGAGGCUGCCUUGCAAGUUGCGCCGUCUGCACCAUAGGCUACCUCCAUCAAUGAAAUGCAUUUUUUUGGAGAGUCAUUUUAGCCAUUUGCAUAGCGAACAGUGUGUGCGUGUGUGGUACGCAAAUUUUUGUUUCUCCAAGUUGGAUCAUGCAUAUGCAGAUUUAUACAGUGCCGUGCGAGAGGCAUUUUACGUUUGCAUA